AGCUGCAUGGGCGAAGCCUGAUGCAGCGACGCCGCGUGAGGGAUGACGGCCUUCGGGUUGUAAACCUCUUUCAGUAGGGAAGAAGCGAAAGUGACGGUACCUGCAGAAGAAGCGCCGGCUAACUACGUGCCAGCAGCCGCGGUAAUACGUAGGGCGCAAGCGUUAUCCGGAAUUAUUGGGCGUAAAGAGCUCGUAGGCGGUUUGUCGCGUCUGCCGUGAAAGUCCGGGGCUCAACUCCGGAUCUGCGGUGGGUACGGGCAGACUUGAGUGCAGUAGGGGAGACUGGAAUUCCUGGUGUAGCGGUGAAAUGCGCAAAUAUCAGGAGGAACACCGAUGGCGAAGGCAGGUCUCUGGGCUGUAACUGACGCUGAGGAGCGAAAGCAUGGGGAGCGAACAGGAUUAGAUACCCUGGUAGUCCAUGCCGUAAACGUUGGGCACUAGGUGUGGGGGACAUUCCACGUUUUCCGCGCCGUAGCUAACGCAUUAAGUGCCCCGCCUGGGGAGUACGGCCGCAAGGCUAAAACUCAAUGAAAAUUGACGGA
This 542-nucleotide ribosomal RNA is filed under the name Arthrobacter ginkgonis. RNAcentral's name for it is "bacterial SSU rRNA". It matches the Rfam family "Bacterial small subunit ribosomal RNA", at positions 365 to 917 of the family's 1533-position model. Lineage: Bacteria; Bacillati; Actinomycetota; Actinomycetes; Micrococcales; Micrococcaceae. The record is from RNAcentral.